RNAcentral lists this small nuclear RNA (107 nucleotides) under Jaculus jaculus (lesser Egyptian jerboa). The record is from RNAcentral. Lineage: Eukaryota; Metazoa; Chordata; Mammalia; Rodentia; Dipodidae.
AUGCUCGUUUUGGCAGCACAUAUACUAAAAUUGGAAUGAUACAGAGAAGAAUAGCAUGGCCCCUGAGCAAGGAUGACAUGCAAAUUCGUGAAGUGUUCAGUAUUUUU